GAAUCUUGCGCAAUGGGCGAAAGCCUGACGCAGCAACGCCGCGUGGGGGAUGAAGGCUCUCGGGUUGUAAACCCCUUUCAGCAGGGACGAAUCAAGACGGUACCUGCAGAAGAAGCCCCGGCUAACUACGUGCCAGCAGCCGCGGUAACACGUAGGGGGCAAGCGUUGUCCGGAUUUAUUGGGCGUAAAGAGCUCGUAGGCGGCUCAGUAAGUCGGGUGUCAAAUCCUCAGGCUCAACCUGGGGCUCCACCCGAUACUGCUGUGGCUAGAGUCCGGUAGGGGAGCGUGGAAUUCCUGGUGUAGCGGUGAAAUGCGCAGAUAUCAGGAGGAACACCAGCGGCGAAGGCGGCGCUCUGGGCCGGAACUGACGCUGAGGAGCGAAAGCGUGGGUAGCAAACAG
Molecule: ribosomal RNA, 400 nt
Filed under: uncultured bacterium
Lineage: Bacteria
Description: bacterial SSU rRNA
Rfam family: Bacterial small subunit ribosomal RNA
Source: RNAcentral